Molecule: unclassified non-coding RNA, 6307 nt
Filed under: Lytechinus variegatus (green sea urchin)
Lineage: Eukaryota; Metazoa; Echinodermata; Echinoidea; Temnopleuroida; Toxopneustidae
Description: kinesin-like protein KIF21A, transcript variant X1
Source: RNAcentral
AAGAGCGCCAUCUUGCGGUAGAAGCAUAUCAGUUCUAACAAGUGGUCUGCGCUAGCUGGCAAGUCGUUGCAAGGAAACGGGAAAUUUGGUUUAUUCUUAUUACCGUUCACUCCGUGUAUGGGAGCUGUGACUCAUAGGCAAAACGCUUGGCUGCUGUCGGGCAAUCUGUAUUCUCUUGCCUUUCCGUAUUUUAUGCAAGUCAGCCUUCAAAACGUUUCGAUCAAAGAGUUUUUAUGCUCAUCAGCGGAGCACCAUUGUUGGACCUGCUGGAAGUAGGCUCCCGCCCCCGCACUCCGCAGUCAACCUACCUGCCGCAAGAUUCAAGAAGCGUAACGUCGUUAUGUCAGUGUUCACAAUCGAACAAGUGCGAAGAGAUUGAAUUGAAUUGAGUCAAUCUAGUAUUAUCUGUAGUCAUUCCUGUAACGAGCAGUUAACAUGCCAGAGAAACAAGAUGAUACAAGUGUACGAGUGGCUGUUCGGAUCCGUCCUCAGCUAGCAAGAGAGAAGAUAGAUGCAUGUCGUGUGUGUACAGCAGUCAGUCCAGAUCAACCACAGGUUAUUCUUGGACCUGAUCGUAUGUUUACAUAUGAUCAUGUAUUUGAUAUGGACAGUCAACAAGAUUCCAUCUAUCAAAGAACGGUACAUGAUCUCAUUGAAGGGUGUUUCGAGGGCUACAAUGCAACUGUCUUUGCUUACGGCCAGACAGGAGCUGGUAAAACGUAUAGUAUGGGGACUGGGUUUGAGCCUGGACUUACUGAAGAUCAGAAAGGAAUCAUACCCCGAGCUGUAAGGCAUCUAUUCACAGGAAUUGAAGAAAGGCAAAGAAACGCUGCUGAUAAAAGUGAACCUCCUCCUGAGUUUAAGAUCUAUGCAGAAUUCAUGGAGUUAUACAAUGAAGAGAUCCUAGACCUGUUUGAUUCUGCAAGGGAUAUGGAAUCUAGUAGGAGUAAGAAAUCUCACAUCAAGAUUCAUGAAGAUGCUGGGGGUGGGAUCUAUGUGGUUGGCGUGACAACACGGACUGUGACAUCAGAACAGGAGACAUUGCAAGCUUUACAAGGCGGGGCAUUAUCAAGGACAACAGCCAGUACAAAGAUGAAUUCACAGAGUUCUCGAUCUCAUGCAAUCUUUACAUUACAUAUUAAACAACAGAGGCUUAUUAAAGUGACAGCUGAAAUAGAAGGUGAAGAUGAGAAAGAAACAGAGAAGACUGAGGGCGAUGGAAUGAAUGAGUUUGAAAUGCUUACGGCUAAAUUCCAUUUUGUUGAUCUGGCUGGCUCCGAGAGAUUGAAGAGAACAGGUGCAACAGGGGAUAGAGCGAAAGAAGGAAUAUCAAUUAAUUGUGGAUUGCUUGCUCUAGGUAAUGUGAUCAGUGCUCUUGGUGAUCCAUUAAAGAAGUCAUCUCAUGUUCCAUAUAGAGAUUCUAAAUUGACAAGAUUACUUCAAGAUUCAUUAGGUGGUAACAGCCGUACAUUGAUGAUAGCCUGUGUGAGUCCAUCUGAUCCUGACUUCAUGGAGACCUUGAACACGUUGCGAUACGCCAACAGAGCAAGAAAUAUCAAGAAUGCAGUCAUUGCUAACCAAGACAAGACAAGCCGUCAGUUAGCUCUACUCAGAACAGAGAUUAAACGACUACAAGAUGAACUCAAUGAAUACAAACAGGGUAAGAGGUCAGUGAACUCAGAUGGAGUUGAGGAGAUCAAUGAUCUAUUUCAUGAGAACACAAUGCUUCAGAUGGAGAAUAGUAAUCUACGUCAACGAAUUAAAGCUUUACAAGAAACCAUUGAUGGUCUGACGGCUAGGAUUGCUUUAUUGGUUGCAGAACAAGCUAGAUAUGGCAUGUCUGCUUCAACAGAUCGGUCUCGUUACACCAUGUCUACAGACUUAGGUGGUACAGAUGGAGAUGAUGAAACAAUGUUAAUGAUGACAGGAUACAUCAAAGAGGUAGAAGAAUUGAGGGCCAAGUUGGUUGAGAGUGAGAGUAUGAACUCUGCUUUAAGAAGGAAGAAUGUUGAUUCACCAGUCAGGGUUAAUUCUAGAGGAUCAGUAAUGAGUCCUUCUCAUGUUUCACUUAGACCAAGCUCUGCCAUCUUUACUGCACCAAUAUUUGAGAAUGAAUUUCAUGGUGAUGAUGAUGUGAGGGUUUCUUCUGUUCUCUCUGAUGCUAAGAAACAAAUAGAAGUUGAUCAAGAGAAGAUAAGACAAGUUGAAAAGAGGAGACAUUCACAUGGGGGUAGUGAAAAAGACAUGGAGUCAUGUGAAGAGAUUACAGACGAAAGCCAUGAAUCAGUUCAGGAUCAUGAGAUGGAAGGAACAAAAGAUGAAGAUGAAGAAAAAGAAGAAGAGGAUUCAGAUGAUGAAGAUGAUGAUGAGAAAGAUAGUAGUAGUAGUAGUGAUUCAGAAUCAGAUGAAGAAGAGAAUGCGCAACUACAGGAGAACCUUGCCGAGAUUGCAUGUGAAAUCACCAUCAAACAAAGACUAAUAGAAGAACUGGAGUUAAGUCAAAAGAGACUUCACACUAUGAAGAUGCAAUAUGAAGAGAAACUAGGCUCUUUACUUAAUAAGAUCAAAGAAACAGAAAGUGAAAGAGAUAAAGUCUUGGAAAACCUGGGAUCAAUGGCUGAAUCAAGGACAAAAGACAAAGCUGAAAAGAUCCGCAAGGAAUAUGAGAUAAAACUGAAGAAACUUUCAGAGGAGAAAGAUAGACUCACUAAGGCUCAGAAGGAACAUAACAAGAUUUUAAAGAGCAAGUCACAGUUUGAAAGGCAGAUGAGAGGACUCAAAGAUGAGGUCUCUAAAAUGAAAGAAACAAAGGUGAAGCUGAUGAAACAAAUCCGAGAAGAACAACAGAAGAGUCGUAAUAAAGAUCAGCUAUCAAGCAGAGAGAUACAAAGAUUAAAGAAAGAAUCUAGGAAGAAAGAAACGCAGAUUAAAACAUUGGAAGCUUCAGCUAAACAGAGGGAACUUGUGCUUAAGAGAAAACAUGAACAGCUUGAGAUGCUGCGUAAGAAUCAGAAACCAAUGUCAGACAAGGUCGCUGGAAGAGUCUCUAGACCUGUGAAGAAGCCCUCUACAGUCCAAACAGAGACAGGUACAGGAGGUCAAAGGUCACUUAGCAGGAGAGGAAAGGCGAAGGUUGACACCGGCCGACCUACCAAACAUGAGAGGAAAGGAACAAGUGAAUACUCAUCAAAAACAGCCAAACAGAAAUGGAAUGUUAUGGAGAGAAAGAUCACAGAUAUCAUAGCAAGACGGCAAACACUGUCCUUCAUGGAGCGAGAUAUGGAAAGGUUUAUCCAUCAUAGACACAAACUAAGCAAGAAGGUUGAGAAGUACCUGACAAAGAGAGAUGAAGCUUUGAAGACAGGCAGCAAUGAUCCUAGUAUCCUGAAAGAUUUAGAUGAACAGAUAGAUGGAUUAAAUGAUAACAUAGAGUAUGUACAGGAACAGAUUACAGAAUGUCAGAGUGGGAUUAUGGAAGUCAUGGAGGGAAAGGAGGAGAUAGAUGCUGUUGAUGCAGCUGCUGUAGUUGAACAAUGCUCCUUGAGAGAGGCUAAAUACAUGCUGGAGCAUUUCAUUAACCUAGCUAUCAGUAAGGGUUUGAGUGCUGCACAGAAGGAGUCUCAAGUCAAAGAGUUGACAGCAAAGCUUCAUCAAGAAGAACAAAAUAGCUUUGUACAACAGACAUUAUUACAACAUAUGAUGAAAGAUAGAGAGGGAGAAGAUCUUGAAUUAGAUGGCCUUUUUAGUCAUCCUAAUAGAGAUAGCGAGAGUAGCAGCAAUAGUUCAAGGGCUCCCUCACCUGAUAUCAGUGCCUUGAAUGCAUUAGCAGUGAAUGUGCCUGAUCACACCACACUACCACAUACAGGACCAGCGAAUUCUGUAUCAUCUAUUCCUGUACCCACCCAAACCAAGGCUAAAGACAAGGCAAGAAGACGAACAGCUACAUCAGAGGAACUAUUAGGAUUCAAAGGUUCAUCUGACUUCACUCCUGACCCUGCUGUAGGUGUGGUCAUUGAAUCUGAUGAAACAUCAUCAUCAACAGAUACCGCUUCAAUAGAUUCAUCUCAGGUUCUACCAUCAAGUCAUAUACCAAUCAGAAAAGAUGGCAGAAUAGAGAAGCUUUCUCCUGCUCUUAGAAGGAAGAAUAUAACACAACUUCAAGCUUUAUCUAACCCUAGCUCUGUAGAUCAUACUCCAGACCAUACACCUCCUGGAUCACCUCCUCCUUCUAGAACUGGUAAUGUCUUCUCAAGGCUGGCUCAAACCAAUUCACCAGCUCAGUCUCAGAAAGAUAGAGGUUCAAUCAUUCCUGUGAUUAAUAAACCUACAACACCACGUGCUCCAUUAGUGUGUUCAUACACAGCUGAAGGUCAUAAUAAAGCAGUCUUAUCAGUUCAAGCCACAGAAGAACUACUAUUCAGUGGAUCUAAAGAUCGGAGUGUGAAGAUCUGGAAGCUGGAGACUGGGAAAGAGAUUGCUACUCUUGGUGGUCAUACUAAUAAUGUAGGUGUUGUGAGGUAUUGUGAGAAACUCAAGCUUGUAUUUAGUGUAUCUACUGCAUUCAUACGAAUAUGGGAUAUCAGAGAUACAACUAAAUGUGUUACUACACUAAGUUCAUCUGGAAUGCAGCUUGAUAAGACUGCUGGUAGUAGCUCAUCUAGAACAGUUACACUACCACAAGGAGAGACACAGAUCAAUGAUAUAGCUAUCAAUCAAAAUGGAACUAGACUAUAUUCAGCUGCUGGUAAUAUAGUAAGAGUAUGGGAUCUUAACAGCUUUCAGUCAAUGUGUAAGUUAUUUGGUGGACCUUCUGCAGCAGUAAUGUGUCUGGAUGUAAAGACUACACCUGAGUAUGAUCAAGUCUUUGCUGGAUCCAAAGAUCAUUAUGUCAAGAUGUUUGAGGUGGAGCCAGCUGCAUCUGGUUGUCUGACAUCAUCAUUCAACUUUGAUCCUCCUCAUUAUGAUGGUAUCCAAUCAAUGGCUAUCAAGGGGAAUUCCCUAUUCAGUGGUUCAAGGGAUGCAUGUAUUAAGAAAUGGGACUUGGAACAAAAACAACUUACAAAGGCAAUGUCUAAUGCUCAUAAAGACUGGAUAUGUGCCUUAGACUUCUUACCAAGUUACAACUGUCUGUUAAGUGGCUGUAGAGGGGGCUAUUUAAAGCUGUGGAAUAUCGAGACGUGUACCCCUGUGGGAGAGAUGAAAGCUCAUACUAGUCCUAUCAACUCCAUAGCAACCAACUCAACACAUGUCUUCACUGCUUCAAGUGACAUGAUCAAAUUAUGGAGAAAGUCUGAAAACACAAGACUAUCAAGUUUAUAGCACGCUGAACUGGUUUAUAGUGUGGUCUCAAUAGUUAUAUCUCUGCAUAUAUUUUGGUGAUAGGACCGUGAGUGUGUGGAAGAAAAAUGGGGAAGCAGAUCGGACAUGACCUUUGACCUGAUGAUGACAUAACAUCAUGAUGUAUAACUGCAAGCUUGAUGAGUCACAUCCAACUGGUUGCAUCCAGUUUUCACCAGUUUCCAGCACUUUGAUUUUCAGUGGUUCUUCUCAGUGCUACAUUCAUACAGUGUGGAUAUGGAAUUGUGAAAUUCAUGCUGAAUUGUUAGUAUGAAACUAAUAACUAUAUGAUUUCUGAAUUGCCGCAGUUAAAUGCAAGAAUUAUAGGUAUGAAUAUCACUGUAAUGCGCAAGUGCACCAUUAUACGCUGUUUCACUCUACAUGACACAUAUACAACAACAUAUAAUCUAAAUUAAGUCAUUUAUUCUUUCAUGUGAAAUGUAUGCCUACAAAGAUGUACAGAACAGGACGAAAAUAAUACAUUUCCUCUUUAAUACAUUAAAGAGGAAAUGUGACCCAAGUAGACAAAAUUAUGAAAUGGAAAUGAGAAAAUUUGGAAAGCUAAUUGGUGAAUAUUUUAACAAAACUUGCAUAUAAUAAGUAAUUUAUGCAAUUUUUACCUGUAAGAAGUUUUGAUUCCUGUAAGGUAAGGAUUACUGAGGAUAUACAUGUAUAUUAAUCUUAUUCAACACUGGGGAAAAAGUGCUUAGGAGAAAACCACACAAAUUACUGUCAAUUAAAUGAGACAAAUAGAUGUAAAAAAAACAAUCCGUAGGGUGUAUGCUAUAUUGCCACGACACCAAGAUUACCAGCACCAGAUUUUUUUGGUCCAGAGUUAAUAUGGUGUUCAUACAGUAUGGUGUCUUAGCUUUUUGAUGGUAGUAUACUCCUCAAGCAGUGGAUAAUGUGUUAAUAGGCAAUCCAGAAUGUGAGGACCAGGAUAAUACUAUAUCUGGGGAUGUCCUGAUGA